RNAcentral lists this transfer RNA (66 nucleotides) under Aphrodita australis. RNAcentral's name for it is "tRNA-Ile". Lineage: Eukaryota; Metazoa; Annelida; Polychaeta; Phyllodocida; Aphroditidae. The record is from RNAcentral.
GAUACUGCGCCGGGAAUGAACGGAUAACUCUGAUGACGUUAACAACGAGGUAUACCUCCAGUAUCU